Molecule: transfer RNA, 50 nt
Filed under: Oxyrrhis marina
Lineage: Eukaryota; Dinophyceae; Oxyrrhinales; Oxyrrhinaceae
Description: partial tRNA
Source: RNAcentral
GCCUACUGGUUAAGACGCCAGGCUACAAACCUCAUGGUCGUGGGUUCGAG